This 303-nucleotide ribosomal RNA is filed under the name Triticum aestivum (bread wheat). Its description in RNAcentral is "partial small subunit ribosomal RNA". The record is from RNAcentral. Lineage: Eukaryota; Viridiplantae; Streptophyta; Magnoliopsida; Poales; Poaceae.
AUGAUGAGUCAACGAGUGGUGGAAUGCAGCAAGCUAAGCCGCGGAUCGGAAAACGAAAAUCAAUUUGGUCCGUGGCUCAGGAAAUCCGCUUUUCCGUUGAAUGGCUGCAGGCACAAAUUGGAUGCAGAGCUCUGGCUCUUCUCCCCCAAAGGCCCCAGCAUGGACGCAUUUGGAAGCAGAGGAGUGAGAAAGAGGGAUAGGAAACAGAGGCGGCCGCCAACGAUGAAGUUCCUAAUGCAACUAAUCAAUCAGGAGAGGGCCCCGGGGCAUGAUAUAGUUUUCAAGAAUGUGUCAUGUUCAUGA